This 448-nucleotide ribosomal RNA is filed under the name uncultured bacterium. RNAcentral describes it as "bacterial SSU rRNA". It matches the Rfam family "Bacterial small subunit ribosomal RNA", at positions 355 to 796 of the family's 1533-position model. The record is from RNAcentral.
UCGAGAAUUUUUCUCAAUGGGGGAAACCCUGAAGGAGCGACGCCGCGUGGAGGAUGAAGGUCUUCGGAUUGUAAACUCCUGUCAUGAGAGAACAAACCUCAACGUUUAACUGGCGUUGAGCUGAUAGUAUCUCAAGAGGAAGGGACGGCUAACUCUGUGCCAGCAGCCGCGGUAAUACAGAGGUCCCAAGCGUUGUUCGGAUUCAUUGGGCGUAAAGGGUGCGUAGGCGGCGAAGCAAGUCAGGUGUGAAAUCCCGGAGCUUAACUCCGGAACUGCACUUGAUACUGCUUUGCUCGAGGACUGGAGAGGAGAUCGGAAUUCACGGUGUAGCAGUGAAAUGCGUAGAUAUCGUGAGGAAGGCCAGUGGCGAAGGCGGAUCUCUGGACAGUUCCUGACGCUGAGGCACGAAGGCCAGGGGAGCAAACGGGAUUAGAUACCCCGGUAGUCC